GUCUCUGUGGCGCAAUCGGUUAGCGCGUUCGGCUGUUAAACUGAAAGGUUGGUGGUUCAAGCCCACACAGGGACG
Molecule: transfer RNA, 75 nt
Filed under: Danionella translucida
Lineage: Eukaryota; Metazoa; Chordata; Actinopteri; Cypriniformes; Danionidae
Also listed under: 1 other name
Rfam family: tRNA
About the family: Transfer RNA (tRNA) molecules are approximately 80 nucleotides in length. Their secondary structure includes four short double-helical elements and three loops (D, anti-codon, and T loops).
Source: Rfam by way of RNAcentral